GGAGUGGGUCAAAGGCCAACCCAGACGCAGUCUUGCAAGCACUGACAGAUUCCUUUGCGUUCCCGCAGCCGUGCCUGCGAGGGUACCUCCUCACAGCCUCACCCCUGUGAGGUGUGAUGCACCUGCUGACCCACCGAGACUGCAGGAUACUGCCAGUAUGAGGGCUGAGGAAUGACGUCUCCCUGCAAUUUUCACUGGCAUUUUUCUGACUAUGAAGGUGCUUGAGCCUCUUUUCGUGGCAUUAAAGAGACAUUUGUAAGGAUCUUUCUGUAAACUGUUCAUAUGUUUUCUAAAUUUUUCUGAUUUUACCCCUAGAGUUUUAGGAACUCUUUUUGUAUGUGCAGAAAUCAGCCCUUUGGCUCAUAAGCUUCCAUUUCCCUCCAAGUUUGUCACUUCUCUUUUGACCUCCUUUCUUCCUUCUUUUCUCUUUCCCUGUCUCCCUUUCUCUGUGUGUGUCUGUGUGUGCAUCUGUGUGUGUUUCUGUAUGUGUGUGUCUGUGUGUCUCUGUGUCUCUGUGUGUGUCUCUGUGUGUCUCUGUGUGUGUGUCUGUGUGUCUCUCUGUGUGUGUCUGUGUCUGUGUGUCUGUGUCUGUGUGUCUUUGUGUGUCUCUGUGUGUGUCUCUGUGUGUCUGUGUGUUUGUGUGUGUCUGUGUGUCUCUGUAAUGUGUGUCUCUCUGUGUGUCUGUGUGUGUCUCUGUGUAUAUGUCUCUGUGUGUGUCUGUAUGUGUCUGUGUGUGUGUGUGUCUCUGUGUCUGUGUGUGUGUCUCUGUGUGUGUCUAUGUGUGUGUGUCUCUCUGUCUUUGUGUGUGUCUGUAUGUGUGUGUGUCUGUGUCUGUGUGUGUCUGUGUGUGUCCCUGUGUGUGUCUCUGUAAUGUGUCUGUGUGUCUGUGUGUGUCUCUGUGCAUAUGUCUCUGUGUGUGUGUCUGUAUGUGUGUGUGUCUGUGUGUCUCUAUGUGUGUCUCUGUAAUGUGUGUGUCUCUGUGUGUGUGUCUGUGUGUGUCUCUGUGUCUUUGUGUGUGUCUGUAUGUGUAUGUGUGUCUCUCUGUGUGUCUCUGUGUGUGUCUGUGUGUGUGUCUCUGUGUCUCUGUGUGUCUGUGUGUGUGUCUCUGUGUGUGUGUCUGUGUGUGUGUCUGUGUGUGUCUGUGUGUGUGUCUGUAUGUGUGUUUGUCUCUGUGUGUCUGUGUGUAUGUGUCUGUGUGUGUCUGUGUGUGUGUCUGU
RNAcentral lists this long non-coding RNA (1217 nucleotides) under Aotus nancymaae (Ma's night monkey). Its description in RNAcentral is "lncRNA (ENSANAG00000038604.1)". Lineage: Eukaryota; Metazoa; Chordata; Mammalia; Primates; Aotidae. The record is from RNAcentral.